This 608-nucleotide unclassified non-coding RNA is filed under the name Hevea brasiliensis (rubber tree). Lineage: Eukaryota; Viridiplantae; Streptophyta; Magnoliopsida; Malpighiales; Euphorbiaceae. The record is from RNAcentral.
GAAGUUGAUAGAACAAGUUGUCAAAGUACACACUUCAGGAAAUCAAGAGGGCAGGAUAACAUGGUGUCUCAAGUAUAUUUUGGUGUUAUAUAAAAUCUGCUGUCUUUGGCAGGCAGUAUCCUUAGGAAACAAGUAUGUUGAAUUAUUGAAGAUAGUUUUGUGCAUCUUUCUUUUUUAUUCAUUAGUGGAGUCUAAUAUCAUGAAUUUUGUGUGUGAAAAUUUUUAUUUAGUGCCAUCUUGUCUAGUCUAUUGGCUGAAGUAACAAUAAGUCACAGGAAGAAUUCUAAAAGGAGUUUUCCCUUCUUCUAUUUAUUUUCUAAUUUCAAAUGGAACCAUGUAGAACUCUUAUGCUCUUCACAAAUUAUUCUAAAUCUGGUAUCAUAUGCAGUGUGGAACAUAUCAGAGCCAUUGUCUGGUUGCCUGCUACCAUCUCAUUGGUCCUUGUGGUUAAUUUCAUAUGAUAUUAAAAUAUGAAAAGGAUACAAAUUGAAAUGUAGAAAUUUAUGCCUAAUAUGCCCAAUUGUGUAAUAUAUUCCAUCAUUUUCCCAUUAGGGCUCCUUUCAUGUUUAUUGGAAUAUUUCUCUAGAAACUUCUAUUCUGGGUUAAAU